AACGAACGCUGGCGGCAGGCCUAACACAUGCAAGUCGAGCGAGGACUUCGGUCUUAGCGGCGGACGGGGGAGUAACGCGUGGGAACGUGCCCUUUGCUUCGGAAUAGCCCUGGGAAACUGGGAGUAAUACCGGAUGGGCCCUUUGGGGGAAAGAUUUAUCGGGGAAGGAUCGGCCCGCGUUGGAUUAGGUAGUUGGGGGGGUAAUGGCCUACCAAGCCGACGAUCCAUAGCUGGUUUGAGAGGAUGAUCAGCCACACUGGGACUGAGGCACGGCCCAGACUCCUACGGGAGGCAGCAGUGGGGACUCUUAGACAGUGGGGGCAACCCUGAGCUAGCCAUGCCGCGUGAGCGAUGAAGGCCUUAGGGUUGUAAAGCUCUUUCAGCUGGGAAGAUAAUGACGGUACCAGCAGAAGAAGCCCCGGCUAACUCCGUG
This 433-nucleotide ribosomal RNA is filed under the name uncultured bacterium. RNAcentral's name for it is "partial 16S ribosomal RNA". It matches the Rfam family "Bacterial small subunit ribosomal RNA", at positions 29 to 507 of the family's 1533-position model. The record is from RNAcentral.